UACGUAGGGUCCGAGCGUUGUCCGGAAUUACUGGGCGUAAAGAGCUCGUAGGUGGUUUGUCGCGUUGUUCGUGAAAACUCACGGCUCAACUGUGGGCGUGCGGGCGAUACGGGCAGACUAGAGUACUGCAGGGGAGACUGGAAUUCCUGGUGUAGCGGUGGAAUGCGCAGAUAUCAGGAGGAACACCGGUGGCGAAGGCGGGUCUCUGGGCAGUAACUGACGCUGAGGAGCGAAAGCGUGGGGAGCGAACAGG
Molecule: ribosomal RNA, 253 nt
Filed under: uncultured bacterium
Lineage: Bacteria
Description: partial 16S ribosomal RNA
Rfam family: Bacterial small subunit ribosomal RNA
Source: RNAcentral